UGGGGAAUAUUGCACAAUGGGCGCAAGCCUGAUGCAGCCAUGCCGCGUGUGUGAAGAAGGCCUUCGGGUUGUAAAGCACUUUCAGCGGGGAGGAAGGCGUUAAGGUUAAUAACCUUGGCGAUUGACGUUACCCGCAGAAGAAGCACCGGCUAACUCCGUGCCAGCAGCCGCGGUAAUACGGAGGGUGCAAGCGUUAAUCGGAAUUACUGGGCGUAAAGCGCACGCAGGCGGUCUGUCAAGUCGGAUGUGAAAACCCCGGGCUCAACCUGGGAACUGCAUUCGAAACUGGGAGGCUAGAGUCUUGUAGAGGGGGGUAGAAUUCCAGGGGUAGCGGUGAAAUGCGUAGAGAUCUGGAGGAAUACCGGUGGCGAAGGCGGCCCCCUGGACAAAGACUGACGCUCAGGUGGGAAAGCGUGGGGAGCAAACAGG
Molecule: ribosomal RNA, 429 nt
Filed under: Chloroflexota bacterium
Lineage: Bacteria; Bacillati; Chloroflexota
Description: Chloroflexi bacterium partial 16S ribosomal RNA
Rfam family: Bacterial small subunit ribosomal RNA
Source: RNAcentral